Molecule: ribosomal RNA, 138 nt
Filed under: uncultured eukaryote
Lineage: Eukaryota
Description: partial 18S ribosomal RNA
Rfam family: Eukaryotic small subunit ribosomal RNA
Source: RNAcentral
UGGUGGAGCGAUUUGUCUGGUUAAUUCCGAUAACGAAUGAGACUCUGGCCUAUUAAAUAGUUCGCCGAUUCCGAUCUGUCGGCGUUAACUUCUUAGAGGGACAAGUGGCUUUUAGCCACGCGAGAUUGAGCAAUAACA